GCUAACGUUUUAUCGGUUUCACAAGUGUCAUUGGUGUCAGUUUGAUUAAGUUAUGUUAUUGUUUGAUUUUUCGCGUUCAAAACUCCAAUUUAACUGUCGUGUACCGUGGUACCUGUCGCUCGCUUGAACGUAAACGUUCCACCAUGCCAAAGCCCUUGUACAAAGAUGCAAAGUAAAUGGUCGCUAAUUUAGUGAACUAUUUUUCUAAAAAACGCGAUAACGGGGGACCUCCUUUACCACUACCAGCUGUUCAAGACAGGGUUGCUGCUACUCUAGGUGUAUGUGUGCGAAAAGUGAACUGCGUGGUACAGCAAAUAAAAAUCGGAGAAAGUGUACAUUCUCCCAAGAAAUAGAGACCCCCGAACAAAGCAAGUGUGUGAUCUUCGGAGCAGUGUGCUAUUCGAGAAUUCUUAUAUGGAAUGGUCGAAAAAAAAAAUACAUGUUACACGAUCGUCAUUACUUAAUUGCUUGAAGGAGAAACAUAUAUUUGAGGGUUCUCUGAGCUCGUUAGGAAGAAUUUUACAUUCUCUAUUGGGUUUCAUUAUUCUCCAACAAGUGUACGGAAGAGUCUUAUGGAAUUACAUGUUAUUCAUGCAAGAACCAAAUUCUUACGUGAAUACAUGCACAAUCAGCAGAAGCCAAAUCCUUUGCCAUGUGAUCUUGAUGAAACAUGGAUAUUUGAAAAUGGUUCGGUAAUUAGGUCCAUGGCAAGACGAUAGUGUCAAAAGUAUCAGGACGUUCAAAAUAGAAGGGAAAAGUAUAUUGUAUUACAUGUAGGUACAAGCAAUGGAUUUAUUGAUGAAGCUGUGCUGGUAUUUUCUUCUAAUACCAAAAAUCUAGACUAUCAUGGCGAAAUGAAUGAACAGAAUUUUCUCAAGUGGUUUCAGUUACUCAUGAAUCUUGAAGAACCGUCAUUGAUUAUUAUAAACAAUGCAAGCUACCACAUUACCCUUGCAAACAAAUGUCCCAAUGGUUCAUGGAAAAAAGCAGAAAUUCGUGAAUGGCUUUAACAUCAUGACAUAAGUUCAGAUCCACAGCUGUUAAAAACGGAACUUCAUCAUUUGGUUGCACAAAAUAAACAUCCAAAAACGUAUGUUGCCGUGAAUUGGGCCAACAGAAUGGCCGUGUUUAACCCUAUAGAAAAUAUUUGGGGAAUUACUACAAAUUAUUAUUCCAAACACAUUGGGCGUGGUCGUUAUGGUCAAACAAAAUUCCGUGGAAAUGUGGAAAGAAGCGUUAGCACAUGUCACGCCCACAAUGUGGAAAAAUACUGUUGACCAUAUGGAUAAAAUAAUACGGGAGUGGUGAGAACGGGAAUUAUUAUUUGACCGUGAAGAGAUUGCGCCGUUUAUAAUCGACAUUAACGAAGAUUCAGAUUAUAGUUUUAGUAAUUAUGACAGUGAAGAUUCUAAUACUGCAGAGGGCAUUCAGCCACUGUAACAUGUAGGUUAUUUUCCAUUACCAUCCUAAUUGAUUGUACUAGCGGCAUGUUCUGCUGAUGUCUUUUAUAAUCACACUAUCACUUCACUGGCCAAAUAUACAGAUCACUGGUCAGACGAAGACGUUGUGCAACAUCAAUAGUUAUUAUUGUUUAUAGUUUACUUUUGUAUCUAUUCCAUGUCAAUAAUAGUAUAUUAUUUGACAAGCGCAUAAUGUAGCAUAUUAUUCACGAGGAUGAAAAUUACACACGAGCCGCAGGCGAGUGUGUAAAUCAUCCGUGUGAAUAAUAGCCAUUAUGCGCUAGUUAAAUACGACGUUUUAUCUACGACUCUAAACAAAUUAUACACGUUUCACAAAUAAUAAUUUAUUUCAGAAACAAUAAACAAAACAAAUAAGUAAUUAAUUAUUA
Molecule: long non-coding RNA, 1849 nt
Organism: Zophobas morio
Lineage: Eukaryota; Metazoa; Arthropoda; Insecta; Coleoptera; Tenebrionidae
Exons: 5
Source: RefSeq, a predicted model, not a curated record